UACAGAGGUCUCAAGCGUUGUUCGGAUUCAUUGGGCGUAAAGGGUGCGUAGGCGGCGCGGUAAGUCGGGUGUGAAAUCUCGGGGCUUAACUCCGAAACUGCAUUCGAUACUGCCGUGCUUGAGGACUGGAGAGGAGAAUGGAAUUCCUGGUGUAGCGGUGAAAUGCGCAGAUAUCAGGAAGAACACCCGUGGCGAAGGCGGUUCUCUGGGACGGUACUGACGCUGAGACGCGAAAGCGUGGGGAGCGAACAGG
Molecule: ribosomal RNA, 253 nt
Filed under: uncultured bacterium
Lineage: Bacteria
Description: partial 16S ribosomal RNA
Rfam family: Bacterial small subunit ribosomal RNA
Source: RNAcentral